RNAcentral lists this ribosomal RNA (257 nucleotides) under uncultured archaeon. RNAcentral describes it as "partial 16S ribosomal RNA". It matches the Rfam family "Bacterial small subunit ribosomal RNA", at positions 521 to 777 of the family's 1533-position model. The record is from RNAcentral.
UAAUACGUAGGGUGCAAGCGUUAAUCGGAAUUACUGGGCGUAAAGCGUGCGCAGGCGGUGCUGUAAGACAGGCGUGAAAUCCCCGGGCUUAACCUGGGAAUGGCGCUUGUGACUGCAGCGCUGGAGUGCGGCAGAGGGGGAUGGAAUUCCGCGUGUAGCAGUGAAAUGCGUAGAUAUGCGGAGGAACACCGAUGGCGAAGGCAAUCCCCUGGGCCUGCACUGACGCUCAUGCACGAAAGCGUGGGGAGCAAACAGGA